This 80-nucleotide transfer RNA is filed under the name Cricetulus griseus (Chinese hamster). It matches the Rfam family "tRNA". From Rfam's summary of the family: Transfer RNA (tRNA) molecules are approximately 80 nucleotides in length. The record is from Rfam by way of RNAcentral. Lineage: Eukaryota; Metazoa; Chordata; Mammalia; Rodentia; Cricetidae.
GGAGAGAUGGCUUAGAGGCUAAGAGCACUGGCUGCUCUUCCAGAGGACAGAGAACCUGGGUUCAAUUCCCAGUACCACUC